CCUUCUACAGUUUGUUGUUAUCUUGCAAUCUAGCAUGAAAUCAGCACUCAAGGAAGACCUUUACUGGUGUGCUGCAACCCUUUACUUUUUCAACAAACAGUUUGCUAUCUUGAUGAGGACCCAAAGACUUUGAAGGUGUUUCCCAUUCCACUUCAUGAUGCCAGUGGCUCAACUCUGCAUUAUGACCGGCUUAGCAUUUCACCUGAUGGAAAGAUAUUGGCAGCAACCCAUGGUUCCACAUUUUGUCAUGUGCUGAAACUGGAAAGGUUUUGGAUACAGCUGAAAAAUCACAUUAAGGUUUUGGAUACAAUGUAUAAAGAUUUGUUUCAGAUAUUUUGAUAUGUAACCAUGUGCUAAUAUUUGUUAUAUGUUCUAUACUUUAAUUCACAGAAACUGUUCAAUUAAGUUUUGAUUUAUUUCACUAUAGGCAUUGUCUGCCUGUAAUAUGUUAGUUAAAAACUGAAAUAGGAAGCAAUUUCUUUACAGUA
Magnolia sinica is the source of this 488-nucleotide long non-coding RNA. RefSeq lists it as uncharacterized. The record is from RefSeq and is a predicted model, not a curated record. NCBI's taxonomy places the organism in Eukaryota, Viridiplantae, Streptophyta, Magnoliopsida, Magnoliales, Magnoliaceae. The transcript has 2 exons.